This is a long non-coding RNA of Beta vulgaris subsp. vulgaris (sugar beet), 414 nucleotides long. RefSeq lists it as uncharacterized. The record is from RefSeq and is a predicted model, not a curated record. The transcript is spliced from 3 exons. Lineage: Eukaryota; Viridiplantae; Streptophyta; Magnoliopsida; Caryophyllales; Amaranthaceae.
CUCCAUUUUCUUAGGUAAAAACUCCAUUUUUCUUCCAUGAAAACUAAUAAAAAUGUUCUAAACUUGUAGGUGCAUAUUGGGUAACCAAGAAUUUCAGGAAAAACAAAGGAAAAAUUGAAGAACAAGAGGAGGAAGAACUCAUUAAGGAGUAAAGAUUCGAGCUUUUGAAGCCAUUUUGGGAAGAAAUUAUGCUAGAAAUUAAGUGGUGGAGUUGCAGGGCUAGGUAAAGGAAGUUGUUUGAAAUUACGUGAUGCGCUUGCCACCGUGUUGUGAACUUAAAUGUUUUGUCAUUUUGUUACGUUUAUAAUACUUGAAAUGUAAAUAUUAUAAUAGGUUCCAUGGCAUGUAUUUUUGGUAGAUCCAUAUGUAAAUUUCCUUAAAAAUAUGGAUUGUAAUAUUAUGUUAAUAUUUUAA